AAAGAAUUGACAAAUCACAUGAGAAGCUAGUCAUGAGGACUACCUGGAAGGAAAUUCAGGGAGGACAAAACACUUCAUUCUUACAGAAAAUAUCUACAGCUUCCAGAAGAAUUUAAUCUAUUUUCCAGCAUCCACCAGAAUAACAGUCCUUCUCAAAACACCAGCACAGAUGCAACAUCAGAUGCGAUGUUCUGACAGCGCAGGAAACAACCUUUGCAGUCCAGCAGGAAAAAGGAGUAACAUCUGCAAUGAAAAUGGCAUCCACGAUGAAAUCACAGCCCUGUAUACCAACCUUUGUAUAGAAAAAGAGGAACAACUGUUCACCACCUCAGGAUACAUUUUACAAAAUGUAUGAUGAAGACUAUGAGGAGAAAGCAACUGCUUUCUGUACUUCUGACAUGAUACAAAAGCUGUCAACACAGGAAUUCCUCACUGGC
This is a non-coding RNA of Cyanistes caeruleus (blue tit), 437 nucleotides long. The record is from RefSeq and is a predicted model, not a curated record. NCBI's taxonomy places the organism in Eukaryota, Metazoa, Chordata, Aves, Passeriformes, Paridae.